This 462-nucleotide ribosomal RNA is filed under the name uncultured archaeon. Its description in RNAcentral is "bacterial SSU rRNA". It matches the Rfam family "Archaeal small subunit ribosomal RNA", at positions 356 to 822 of the family's 1478-position model. The record is from RNAcentral.
UGCGAGAAAUCGUGAUAAGGGAACCCCGAGUGCCCGUAAAUUCGGGCUGUCCGCCAGUGUAAAUAACUGGUGAAGAAAGGGCCGGGCAAGACCGGUGCCAGCCGCCGCGGUAAUACCGGCGGCUCGAGUGGUGGCCACUAUUACUGGGCUUAAAGCGUCCGUAGCUGGAUUGUUAAGUCUCUUGGGAAAUCCACCGGCUCAACCGAUGGGCGUUCAGGAGAAACUGGCAAUCUAGGGACCGGGAGAGGUGAGAGGUACUCCAGGGGUAGGAGUGAAAUCCUGUAAUCCUUGGGGGACCACCUGUGGCGAAGGCGUCUCACUAGAACGGCUCCGACAGUGAGGGACGAAAGCUGGGGGAGCAAACCGGAUUAGAUACCCGGGUAGUCCCAGCUGUAAACGAUGCGCGUUAGGUGUAUCGGUGACCACGAGUCAUCGAGGUGCCGAAGGGAAACCGUGAAACGU